RNAcentral lists this ribosomal RNA (261 nucleotides) under Triticum aestivum (bread wheat). RNAcentral's name for it is "partial small subunit ribosomal RNA". Lineage: Eukaryota; Viridiplantae; Streptophyta; Magnoliopsida; Poales; Poaceae. The record is from RNAcentral.
AUGUUUUCGUUCAAGUUUAAGAGGAAGCAAUUUACUAUAAGACUUAGCUUUGCUAUGACCAUUAACAAGGCUCAAGGGCAGACCAUCCCUACUGUUGGUGUCUACCUACCCAAUCCUGUGUUCUCUCAUGGUCAACUCUAUGUUGCUUUGUCUCGAGCCACCGUGAAGAGAAACAUAAAGAUACUAAUUCAGAAGGAGAAGCCGAAGGAGAAGGUCAAGAAGCAAAAGGACAAUCCGAAGAAGCAACCGUGUCCUUACUGA